GACCUCGGAUCAGGUAGGGAUACCCGCUGAACUUAAGCAUAUCAAUAAGCGGAGGAAAAGAAACCAACAGGGAUUGCCUCAGUAACGGCGAGUGAAGCGGCAACAGCUCAAAUUUGAAAUCUGGCCUUCGGGUCCGAGUUGUAAUUUGCAGAGGAUGCUUCGAGCAUGGUCUAGUCUAAGUUCCUUGGAAUAGGACGUCAUAGAGGGUGAGAAUCCCGUAUGCGACUGGGUGCCUAAGCUCAUGUGAAGCUCCUUCGACGAGUCGAGUUGUUUGGGAAUGCAGCUCAAAAUGGGUGGUAAAUUUCAUCUAAAGCUAAAUAUUGGCCAGAGACCGAUAGCGCACAAGUAGAGUGAUCGAAAGAUGAAAAGCACUUUGGAAAGAGAGUUAGAUAGCACGUGAAAUUGUUGAAAGGGAAGCGC
This 420-nucleotide ribosomal RNA is filed under the name uncultured fungus. Its description in RNAcentral is "eukaryotic LSU rRNA". It matches the Rfam family "Eukaryotic large subunit ribosomal RNA", at positions 1 to 422 of the family's 3401-position model. The record is from RNAcentral. Lineage: Eukaryota; Fungi.